GAACCGGACAAACGUUAUUCGGAGUUAUUGGGGCUUAAAGGGUGCGUAGGCGGGCUUAGUAGGUGGGGGUGUGAAAUCCCUCGGGCUCAACCGAGGAACUGCGCCCAAACCACUAGGCUAGAGGGAGACAGAGGUAAGCGGAACUGAUGGUGGAGCGGUGAAAUGCGUUGAUAUCAUCAGGAACACCAGUGGCGAAAGCGGCUUACUGGGUCUCUUCUGACGCUGAGGCACGAAAGCUAGGGUAGCGAACGGGAUUAGAUACCCCGGUAGUCCUAGCUGUAAACGAUGAGCACUUGGUUGAGGGCCCCCCCAUAGGUUCUCGGCCGUAGCGAAAGUGUUAAGUGCUCCGCCUGGGGAGUAUGGUCGCAAGGCUG
Molecule: ribosomal RNA, 374 nt
Filed under: uncultured organism
Description: partial 16S ribosomal RNA
Rfam family: Bacterial small subunit ribosomal RNA
Source: RNAcentral